This 400-nucleotide RNase P RNA is filed under the name Erythrobacter sp. RNAcentral describes it as "RNase P RNA component class A". It matches the Rfam family "Bacterial RNase P class A". From Rfam's summary of the family: Ribonuclease P (RNase P) is a ubiquitous endoribonuclease, found in archaea, bacteria and eukarya as well as chloroplasts and mitochondria. Lineage: Bacteria; Pseudomonadati; Pseudomonadota; Alphaproteobacteria; Sphingomonadales; Erythrobacteraceae. The record is from RNAcentral.
CCAGAUGGCCGGAUGGCUGCCCUGAUUGCUUGCAAUCGGGGAGGAAAGUCCGGGCUCCACGGAAACACGGUGCCAGAUAACGUCUGGCGGGGGCGACCCUAGGGAAAGUGCCACAGAAAGGAUACCGCCGGAUCGCGCAAGCCAUCCGGUAAGGGUGAAAGGGUGCGGUAAGAGCGCACCGGGGUACUGGUAACAGCGCCCGCAUGGCAAACCCCACCCGGAGCAAGGCCGAAUAGGGGCGGCGCGCUGGAAACAGCAGGUGCGUUUCGCAUCGACUGCCCGGGUUGGCUGCUCGAGCCAUGGAGCAAUCCAUGGCCCAGACGAAUGGCUGCCGCCGCGCGGCUGGUGUGCAAGCAUACCGCGUGCGGAACAGAACCCGGCUUACAGGCCCCCUGGCAUU